AUUCAGGCUCUGCCUUCUAAGAAGAUGGAAAUGGCAAAACGAAUGGGACAUUGGAUAUUGCCCCAUAUAGAAGAUAGACGCGUGCAUAGAGGAAGCCUGAGAGAGGCUCCAGCCCAUGGGCAGGCAGAGAAAGAGUGAGGGUGGAAGGACAAACAGCAAAGGCUCCAAGGUCCUGAAAAGUCAUUCUCAAAGGAAAUGUGUUGCUUCACUCCCAGUAAUUCUCAAGCAGCUCCCGGAAUAGAUUCUACUACUUACUCUUGGUACCAGGAAAGGGUCAUCUGAAUAAAG
Molecule: long non-coding RNA, 288 nt
Filed under: Homo sapiens (human)
Lineage: Eukaryota; Metazoa; Chordata; Mammalia; Primates; Hominidae
Description: HSALNT0061972
Source: RNAcentral